RNAcentral lists this ribosomal RNA (427 nucleotides) under uncultured bacterium. RNAcentral's name for it is "partial 16S ribosomal RNA". It matches the Rfam family "Bacterial small subunit ribosomal RNA", at positions 354 to 796 of the family's 1533-position model. The record is from RNAcentral.
GUGGGGAAUAUUGGGCAAUGGGGGCAACCCUGACCCAGCGACGCCGCGUGAGGGAAGAAGGCCUUAGGGUCGUAAACCUCUGUUGUGUGGGAAGAAGGAAGUGACGGUACCACACGAGGAAGUCCCGGCUAACUACGUGCCAGCAGCCGCGGUAAUACGUAGGGGACGAGCGUUAAUCGGAAUUACUGGGCGUAAAGGGCGCGUAGGCGGACAUUUAAGUCAGCUGUGAAAUGGUCCGGCUAAACCGGAUCAUGCGGUUGAAACUGGAUGACUGGAGUGCUGGAGAGGCAAGUGGAAUUCCCAGUGUAGCGGUGAAAUGCGUAGAUAUUGGGAAGAACACCGGUGGCGAAGGCGACUUGCUGGCCAGCAACUGACGCUGAGGCGCGAAAGCCAGGGGAGCAAACGGGAUUAGAAACCCCGGUAGUCC